AGGGGUGAUGCCUGCCCAGUGACACUGUUUAACGGCCGCGGUAUCCUGACCGUGCGAAGGUAGCAUAAUCACUCGUCUUUUAAAUAAAGACUAGAAUGAAUGGCUAAACGAGGCUCUACCUGUCUCUUACAAAUUAUCAGUGAAAUUGAUAUCCUCGUGCAAAAGCGAGAAUAAUCCCAUAAGACGAGAAGACCCUGUGGAACUUUAAGUAUAAGUCAACUACUAAACUACAACACCAACUCUACUGAAACACCACAUAAAAUUACUUGACCUUACUUUCGGUUGGGGUGACCUUGGAGAACAAUAAAACCUCCAAAAAAAUAUACCAAGAUUAACAGCCCAAAGUGCCUAAGGCAAAACGAUCCAAUACAUUUGAUCAACGAACCAAGCUACCCCAGGGAUAACAGCGCAAUCCCCUCUUAGAGUCCAUAUCAACGAUGGGGGUUUACGACCUCGAUGUUGGAUCAGGACAUCCUAAUGGUGCAGCCGCUAUUAAGGGUCC
RNAcentral lists this ribosomal RNA (502 nucleotides) under Chelodina oblonga (North Australian snake-necked turtle). Its description in RNAcentral is "partial 16S ribosomal RNA". It matches the Rfam family "Bacterial large subunit ribosomal RNA", at positions 1848 to 2574 of the family's 2925-position model. The record is from RNAcentral. Lineage: Eukaryota; Metazoa; Chordata; Testudines; Chelidae.